GACGAACGCUGGCGGCGUGCUUCAUACAUGCAAGUCGAACGAGAAGCUGACUUCGGUCAGUGGAAAGUGGCGGACGGGUGAGUAAUAUGUAGGAAAUCUGCCUUUAGGAGGGGGACAACAGAGGGAAACUUCUGCUAAUACCCCAUAUGAGCGUAGCUGAAAUGCUAUUCUUGAAAACUCCGGUGCCUAAAGAUGAGCCUGCAUCUGAUUAGCUAGUUGGUAGUGUAAUGGACUACCAAGGCGACGAUCAGUAGCUGGUUUGAGAGGAUGAUCAGCCACAAUGGGACUGAGACACGGCCCAUACUCCUACGGGAGGCAGCAGUAGGGAAGUUUGAGCAAUGGGCGAAAGCCUGACGAAGCAACGCCGCGUGAACGAUUAAGCCCUUCGGGGUGUAAAGUUCUGUCAGUGGGGACGAAACUUGACGGUACCCACAGAGGAAGCACCGGCUAACUCCGUG
This 458-nucleotide ribosomal RNA is filed under the name uncultured bacterium. RNAcentral's name for it is "partial 16S ribosomal RNA". It matches the Rfam family "Bacterial small subunit ribosomal RNA", at positions 28 to 507 of the family's 1533-position model. The record is from RNAcentral.